ACUUGGGUAGCUUAAAUUAAAGCAUAAUGUUGAAGAUAUUAUUAUAAGGUUAUUUCUUCUCAAGUA
RNAcentral lists this transfer RNA (66 nucleotides) under Leptocorisa costalis. RNAcentral describes it as "tRNA-Phe". Lineage: Eukaryota; Metazoa; Arthropoda; Insecta; Hemiptera; Alydidae. The record is from RNAcentral.